CGGUUCUCAGGGGAGGCUGAAGGAUCGCAAAUUUGAACCCAGUUCGGGCAAUUUAGUGACUUGAGGAAACCCUGUCUCAAAAAUUUUUUUAAAAAAUGGGCCGUGGAUGUAGCGCAGUGCGAAGGCGUUGGGUUCAAUCACCAUCAUCAUUAAAAAGAAAAAGACGUGAUUUUAAAAGUGCUGUUCGACAUGUGACGGUGGGCUCUGUCACUCAGUGGUUAUUCCACCUGCCUCUCAAGUACAAGGACCCGAGUUCGAUCCUUGGUACCAAAAAAGAAAAAAAAGAGGCCAAAGAAAUGCAUCAUAUAGGGAUCCUACAACUUUGAUGAGUCACCCAAGCUCCUGAGCGGGAAGACUGCUGGACUCCAGAGGACCAGGAAUCAACAAAUGUAGUGAGCCAAAGGAGGGUCACCAAAAGGGAACAUUCCUUGAAGAUGGGGCUCCAAGACAAAGAGAAUUGACUACACCCACAUACUUCCCCUAGGGAGGAAGAAAGGAGAUUGAUAUUCUAAAUAGGCAUCAAUCACCUUGCGUGGGGACCAAAGCCGCCCUAGCCCAUUCCUUCCAGGAAAAAUCCUUGUUUGGUCCAUGCAAUCUUGGUAUGUGACUUGCUUUCCCAGUUUAUCCUCAUUUAAUCAAUAUCACCUAAGUGACUAUAUUUGUAAUCUUAUCAGUUGACUGUAGUUUUGUCCCACCUUAGGCCCACCUGACCUCGUGGCUUUGCUCAAUAAAACUCCCUUGAAAAGCAGGGUCCCCAGGCAACCCACU
Non-coding RNA from Heterocephalus glaber (naked mole-rat), 768 nucleotides. The record is from RefSeq and is a predicted model, not a curated record. NCBI's taxonomy places the organism in Eukaryota, Metazoa, Chordata, Mammalia, Rodentia, Bathyergidae.